Non-coding RNA from Lactuca sativa (garden lettuce), 2280 nucleotides. The record is from RefSeq and is a predicted model, not a curated record. NCBI's taxonomy places the organism in Eukaryota, Viridiplantae, Streptophyta, Magnoliopsida, Asterales, Asteraceae.
CUUCCAUGGAGACUCUUGAAGCAUGAAAUCCUGGCAAAAAUCUUUCAAUGUUAGUUGAACUGUUCUUCUCCAUCGCAAAUCACAGACUCAAUUCCAUUUAGUGUCUACAUAUUCGUUCUCUCUCUAAAACCCUAGACCCAAAACACUUUCUUCGUUUCUCUCAGCCUCACUAAAUCAUUCCUAUUGCGCCCCAAUCACAAACUCACUCACCAAUAACCUCCUUAACCUCUCUGUUAUUUCAAUUUUCUUCAAUUUUCUUCAAUUUCUCUUCAUACAUCACCACACUACUUCACAUCCAUAACCAUUUAAAGAUUCGUUGACGCCUUUUGCUACCACCCAUCUGUUCACUCUAGAAGCCCUAACACCACCGUACCACCCAUUCCCUUUGAAAGCACACCUACUCUUGAGGGUCUUCUUCUUUCUCUCUCAUUUUACCCUAAUUUGAAAUCUGAAAAGCACACUCUCCUUUCUUUCACAAGAAAAUGCCAACUGCAUGACAGAUCAACACCAUCGCUGUUGUUGCUGUUUCAUACUAUCGUCGGCUACUUCCCUUUUGUGGUUACCAGUGUUUUAACCUAUCCAUGCUCUAAGUACCAUGGAUGGAGAUUGUUUAUUUCAUAAUCGGUAGUUGUUGGUCACCACAACCACAAAACCCUAUCGGCUGCAUUCCUCACAAACGCUUCUCCAUUCACCGCAUCUGUCUCCAUUGCUCUCGAUCUAUAAAUCAUAUAGAAAACACUAGAACCACACUUGCUUACUACCAGCAUCGCCACUCUCCACCUCUGUCACCACUUUUGGAGCACCUCACCAUCGUCUCUAGAGAUUUGAAGAAAAAAAAAUGGAUGGCAUAGCAGAUGAGGUUUAUUGGAGAAAAGCUAAUGAAAUCCUACUAGAGGUAUCUACACCCACCCUUGCCACCAUUUCUCUCUUCUUUCUCUUUAAUUCUCAAUUCUAUCAUCAAAAUGAUUCUCUGUUGUUAACUGUAAUUUCGACUUCAGGUAAGGUAAGUUUUGAUUUUUUCUUUGUUUAAUUUUGUUUUUGAUUUCUAUUUCUGAUACACUAGGUUUUGAUUUUAGAAAAGAAUUUGGUUUUGACUUUUGAAACCCCAGGGAAGGUUAUGUUAUUUAAUUUUUUUUUUUUUUUUGUGAUUUUGAACCAAUUUUUUUGUUUGAUUUGACUUUUGAAACAAUGUGAGUCUCAAGAAAUCAGUUUAAUGCAUAUUAGAUUUUGAGUUCAAAUCUAAAGUUCCAGGAAACUCCUUAAGAACAAAUAGAUCCAAAGACAUUUUACAUUAUGGAAAUCAUUAUUAAGAGUAUAUGAUAUCGCUUUCAACAUGAAAGAGUGAUACAUCCAAAUUGACAAUAUGGUAAUUUGCUUAGAAUUUGGAACAAAUCAUGCUAAAAUGAUUUUUAAUUCUUAUUUUUGUAUUAGCCACUUCCAGUUUUUGAGUGCACGUGAAGGGGGAGUUGAAUUCCAUUGGAAUUCACAAAAUUGUACCAGUAAUAGAGUUCAACUUUCCUUGCAUCACUCAUGCAAUGCAACUCCAAUCUUCCCUGAUUUCUAUAGGCGACUAAAAUAUCCUUUUUAACCCUAUUAUUAAUAUUGUAGUUUGUUGGUUUUUUUUCGUUUCUUCUUUUCAUUAUUUGUUUAAUAUCUUUCCUAAAAAAUUAAAACGUGAGCACACAAAAUAUUAUGAAGUUGCCUUGGAAAUUAAAACUUGUGGGUGUGUUAAAUAGUACAGAAUAAUCAAAACUAAAGGGGUGUAACUGUCAUAUUAGCAUUUGAAUACACAAAGUAUUGUUAAACUAGAGUUGAAUAUAUCUUAUUCACACUUAUACUCCCAGAAUGCAGUGUAAAAAGGGGUAGUUUACAUCAUCCAAGGCCAAUUAUGAUGAAACAUGCUUAGCUUCUUCAGAUUGGAACAACGAUGUUGGCCAAGAAAAGAAACAUUGUGCCUCUUGUAAAGAUGUUUUUUUUUUGGUAAAACCAGGUUCUGAUAAGAGAAAAUCGGUUUCAAGUGAAGGUUAUGUUAAGGAAAUUAUGUAUUCCUAUGGUUUACUCUCCUUUUUCAUACCCUACCUCUUAAAUUUCAUUUUCUGUUUUUUUUGGAUAAUUGCAAGAAAUAGCAAUGUAGUUUUUUUAUUGUAAUACUAUACCUUGAGUGGCUAUGUGUUUGUUUGCUUGUGAUUCUUUACUGUAUAUUUCGUUGUGUUUAUGGGGAAAAAUUAUGUGGUGUUUUUCUGAUUAGUAAAAUGGUUGAAGUAUACUGCUGCCAAAUUA